Molecule: ribosomal RNA, 869 nt
Filed under: uncultured bacterium
Lineage: Bacteria
Description: bacterial SSU rRNA
Rfam family: Bacterial small subunit ribosomal RNA
Source: RNAcentral
ACGAACGCUGGCGGCGUGCUUAACACAUGCAAGUCGAACGCGAAAGAGGUCUUCGGACCUCUCUAGAGUGGCGCACGGGUGAGUAACGCGUAGAUAAUCUACCUCUAUAUUUGGGAUAACAGUUCGAAAGGACUGCUAAUACCGGAUACACUUAUUUGAACGCGAGUUUGAGUGAGGAAAGGUGACCUCUCCAUGGAAGUUACUGUAUAGAGAUGAGUCUGCGUACCAUUAGCUAGUAGGUAGGGUAAAGGCCUACCUAGGCAACGAUGGUUAGCGGGUCUGAGAGGAUGAUCCGCCACACUGGAACUGGAACACGGACCAGACUCCUACGGGAGGCAGCAGUGAGGAAUAUUGCGCAAUGGGGGAAACCCUGACGCAGCGACGCCGCGUGGGUGAUGAAGGCCUUCGGGUUGUAAAGCCCUGUCAGGUGGGAAGAAGUGCAUAAUGGCUAAUAUCCAUUAUGUUUGACGGUACCACCAAAGGAAGCACCGGCUAACUCCGUGCCAGCAGCCGCGGUAAUACGGAGGGUGCAAGCGUUGUUCGGAUUUACUGGGCGUAAAGGGCGCGUAGGCGGUCCUAUAAGCCAGAUGUGAAAGCCCACGGCUCAACCGUGGAAGUGCAUCUGGAACUGUAGGACUUGAGUAUGGGAGAGGAAAGUGGAAUUCCCGGUGUAGAGGUGAAAUUCGUAGAUAUCGGGAGGAAUACCGGUGGCGAAGGCGACUUUCUGGACCAAUACUGACGCUGAGGCGCGAAAGCGUGGGUAGCAAACAGGAUUAGAUACCCUGGUAGUCCACAGCUGUAAACGAUGAUAACUAGGUAUAGGGGGUGUUGACCCCUUCUGUGCCGCAGCUAACGCAUAAGUAUCCGCC